AGAGUUUGAUCCUGGCUCAGGACGAACGCUGGCGGCGUGCCUAACACAUGCAAGUCGAACGGAGAAUUUUAUUUCGGUAGAAUUCUUAGUGGCGAACGGGUGAGUAACGCGUAGGCAACCUGCCCUUUAGACGGGGACAACAUUCCGAAAGGAGUGCUAAUACCGGAUGUGAUCAUCGUGCCGCAUGGCAGGAUGAAGAAAGAUGGCCUCUACAAGUAAGCUAUCGCUAAAGGAUGGGCCUGCGUCUGAUUAGCUAGUUGGUAGUGUAACGGACUACCAAGGCGAUGAUCAGUAGCCGGUCUGAGAGGAUGAACGGCCACAUUGGGACUGAGACACGGCCCAAACUCCUACGGGAGGCAGCAGUGGGGAAUCUUCCGCAAUGGACGAAAGUCUGACGGAGCAACGCCGCGUGAGUGAUGAAGGAUUUCGGUCUGUAAAGCUCUGUUGUUUAUGACGAACGUGCAGUGUGUGAACAAUGCAUUGCAAUGACGGUAGUAAACGAGGAAGCCACGGCUAACUACGUGCCAGCAGCCGCGGUAAUACGUAGGUGGCGAGCGUUGUCCGGAAUUAUUGGGCGUAAAGAGCAUGUAGGCGGCUUAAUAAGUCGAGCGUGAAAAUGCGGGGCUCAACCCCGUAUGGCGCUGGAAACUGUUAGGCUUGAGUGCAGGAGAGGAAAGGGGAAUUCCCAGUGUAGCGGUGAAAUGCGUAGAUAUUGGGAGGAACACCAGUGGCGAAGGCGCCUUUCUGGACUGUGUCUGACGCUGAGAUGCGAAAGCCAGGGUAGCGAACGGGAUUAGAUACCCCGGUAGUCCUGGCCGUAAACGAUGGGUACUAGGUGUAGGAGGUAUCGACCCCUUCUGUGCCGGAGUUAACGCAAUAAGUACCCCGCCUGGGGAGUACGGCCGCAAGGUUGAAACUCAAAGGAAUUGACGGGGGCCCGCACAAGCGGUGGAGUAUGUGGUUUAAUUCGACGCAACGCGAAGAACCUUACCAAGGCUUGACAUUGAUUGAACGCUCUAGAGAUAGAG
RNAcentral lists this ribosomal RNA (1028 nucleotides) under gut metagenome. Its description in RNAcentral is "bacterial SSU rRNA". It matches the Rfam family "Bacterial small subunit ribosomal RNA", at positions 8 to 1011 of the family's 1533-position model. The record is from RNAcentral.